AGCAGGGUAGAGGAGCUCGGUCGUCCUCGCCGGUCUCAUAAGCCGGAGAUCGUGGGUUCGAAUCCCACUCCUGCGAC
RNAcentral lists this transfer RNA (77 nucleotides) under Virgisporangium aliadipatigenens. RNAcentral's name for it is "tRNA-Met". It matches the Rfam family "tRNA". From Rfam's summary of the family: Transfer RNA (tRNA) molecules are approximately 80 nucleotides in length. Lineage: Bacteria; Bacillati; Actinomycetota; Actinomycetes; Micromonosporales; Micromonosporaceae. The record is from RNAcentral.